Molecule: ribosomal RNA, 253 nt
Filed under: uncultured cyanobacterium
Lineage: Bacteria; Bacillati; Cyanobacteriota
Also listed under: 1 other name
Description: partial 16S ribosomal RNA
Rfam family: Bacterial small subunit ribosomal RNA
Source: RNAcentral
UACGGGAGUGGCAAGCGUUAUCCGGAAUUAUUGGGCGUAAAGCGUCCGCAGGCGGCCCUUCAAGUCUGCUGUUAAAAAGUGGAGCUUAACUCCAUCAUGGCAGUGGAAACUGUUGGGCUUGAGUGUGGUAGGGGCAGAGGGAAUUCCCGGUGUAGCGGUGAAAUGCGUAGAUAUCGGGAAGAACACCAGUGGCGAAGGCGCUCUGCUGGGCCAUCACUGACGCUCAUGGACGAAAGCCAGGGGAGCGAAAGGG